RNAcentral lists this long non-coding RNA (567 nucleotides) under Equus asinus (donkey). Its description in RNAcentral is "lncRNA (ENSEASG00005030145.1)". Lineage: Eukaryota; Metazoa; Chordata; Mammalia; Perissodactyla; Equidae. The record is from RNAcentral.
GGAGAAGAGAGGAGGGGAGGAGAGCAAGCUCCAGCUCCAGCGGGGAGCCUUCGCCUCCACGGUCCAGCUCUCAGUGGCCUCUGGCAACAUUAUGUCUUCCCUCACCCCUCAGCCCUAAAGGGAGAAUGGCUUCUAACUAUUGUCAGUUUCUGGGUGUUUCACCGUCACUUGCUUGUUCCCUGAACCCUCACCAUGUAUCUUGAAGUAGCGCCUUCAUUUGGCCCAUCUGUGGUGGCUUCUACUUCCUGCCAGGUUUCUGACUGACAAAGUUCUCUACUUAGUACAGGAAUCCACUUUGCCUAGACAGAGCUAGUGGUACCUGGAGACUUACGGCCCCCUCGCAGGCCUCCCACGCUUCACCAAUGACUGAUGGUGCAGAGGUAUCAAUUCUCCCAGCUUCCUGGCCUCUGACUUGGACAACUGAGGUAGGACUUACUCCAUCUCCAGCGCUCUCUGGUGUACCACCCCUCCCCCACCCAUUGGCUUUGCUUGACAUCACAUCCUUAUGUGGGUUUUUUCUCCUCUUCCCUUUGUGUUGGUCCUAUUUCUCUAUUUCCUUAUUGUUUU